RNAcentral lists this ribosomal RNA (508 nucleotides) under uncultured bacterium. RNAcentral's name for it is "bacterial SSU rRNA". It matches the Rfam family "Bacterial small subunit ribosomal RNA", at positions 8 to 507 of the family's 1533-position model. The record is from RNAcentral.
AGAGUUUGAUCAUGGCUCAGAGUGAACGCUGGCGGCAGGCCUAAUACAUGCAAGUCGAACGGCAGCACAGUGGAGCUUGCUCCAUGGGUGGCGAGUGGCGGACGGGUGAGGAAUACAUGGGAAUCUGCCCAGCCGUGGGGAUAACGUAGGGAAACUUACGCUAAUACCGCAUGCGCCCUUCGGGGGAAAGCCGGGGACCGUAAGGCCUGGCGCGAUUGGAUGAGCCCAUGUCGGAUUAGCUAGUUGGCGGGUAAAGGCCCACCAAGGCGACGAUCCGUAGCUGGUCUGAGAGGAUGAUCAGCCACACUGGAACUGAGACACGGUCCAGACUCCUACGGGAGGCAGCAGUAGGGAAUAUUGGACAAUGGGCGCAAGCCUGAUCCAGCCAUGCCGCGUGAGUGAAGAAGGCCCUCGGGUUGUAAAGCUCUUUUGUCCGGAAAGAAAAGCGCCGGGUUAAUACCCUGGUGUCCUGACGGUACCGGAAGAAUAAGCACCGGCUAACUUCGUG